Molecule: long non-coding RNA, 1097 nt
Organism: Cydia pomonella (codling moth)
Lineage: Eukaryota; Metazoa; Arthropoda; Insecta; Lepidoptera; Tortricidae
Exons: 2
Source: RefSeq, a predicted model, not a curated record
AGGGUCCACCUUAUAUGUCUAAAAUCUUUAUUAAAAAUGUUAACGUCAUACAUUUUUCAUAGAAAGGUGUUGGGUUCUACAAGGCGUGCAAUCUAUUUUGUACUAUCAUUGAUUUAAAUUUGACUGACAAUAUUUUUUGUAUGGUGGGCCGCUAGAGGUUAAUUGUGCUUUUUUGCAUAUGAGAGCGGCCAGGAAUAUUUAGCAGUAGGUGCGGCCAAGUGCGAGUCGGACUCGCCCAUGAAGGGUUCCGUACCAUUUCUGACGUAUUAAAAAAAACUUCUUACUAGAUCUCGUUCAAACCAAUUUUCGGUGGAAGUUUGCAUGGUUAUGUAUAUCAUAUAUUUUUUAGUUUUAUCAUUCUGUUAUUUUAGAAAUUAUAGGGGGGGGGGGGCACACAUUUUAUCACUUUGGAAGUGUCUCUCGCGCAAACUAUUCAGUUUAGAAAAAAAUGAUAUUAGAAACCUCAAUAUCAUUUUUGAAAACCUAUCCAUAGAUAUCCCACACUUUCAAUGAAAAUGGUUCAAUGAAAAAAAAAUUUGAGUCUCCGUUCUAAAUAUGGGGAACCCCCAAAAUUUAUUGUUUUUUUAAAAGUACUAACUAGAUCUCGUUCAAACCAAUUUUCGGUGGAAGUUUGCAUGGUAAUGUACAUCAUAUAUUUGUUUUAGUUUUGUCAUUCUCUUAUUUUAGAAGUUACAGGGGGGGGGGGGGACCCAUUUUAUCACUUUGGAAGUAUCUCUCGCGCAAACUAUUCAGUUUAGAAAAAAUGAUAUUAGAAACUUCAAUAUCAUUUUUGAAGACCUAUCCAUAGAUACCCCACACGUAUGCACGUACCUACGGGUUUGAUGAAAAAAAAUUUUUUUUGAGUUUCAGUUCUAAGUAGGUAUGGGGAACCCCCAAAAUUUAUUGUUUUUUUUUUUUUCAUUUUUGUGUGAAAAUCUUAAUGCGGUUCACAGAAUACAUUUACUUACCGAGUUUCAAGAGUAUAGUUCUUAUAGUUUCGGAAAAAAGUGGCUGUGACAUACGGACGGAUAGACAGACAGACAUGACGAAUCCAUAAGAGUUCCGUUUUUUGCCAUUUGGCUACGGAACCCUAAAAA